CGGCCAAUCCUCGUGUAAGGCUUACACAUGCAAGUCGAGCGCCCCGCAAGGGGAGCGGCAGACGGGUGAGUAACACGUGGGAACGUACCCUUUACUACGGAAUAACGCAGGGAAACUUGUGCUAAUACCGUAUGUGCCCUUUUGGGGAAAGAUUUAUCGGUAAGGGAUCGGCCCGCGUUGGAUUAGCUAGUUGGUGGGGUAAAGGCCUACCAAGGCGACGAUCCAUAGCUGGUCUGAGAGGAUGAUCAGCCACAUUGGGACUGAGACACGGCCCAAACUCCUACGGGAGGCAGCAGUGGGGAAUAUUGGACAAUGGGCGCAAGCCUGAUCCAGCCAUGCCGCGUGAGUGAUGAAGGCCCUAGGGUUGUAAAGCUCUUUCACCGGAAAAAAUAAUGACGGUAUCCGGAGAAGAAGCCCCGGCUAAUUUCGUGCCAGCAGCCGCGGUAAUACGAAGGGGGCUAGCGUUGUUCGGAAUUACUGGCCGUAA
RNAcentral lists this ribosomal RNA (487 nucleotides) under Rhizobium etli. RNAcentral's name for it is "bacterial SSU rRNA". It matches the Rfam family "Bacterial small subunit ribosomal RNA", at positions 26 to 563 of the family's 1533-position model. The record is from RNAcentral. Lineage: Bacteria; Pseudomonadati; Pseudomonadota; Alphaproteobacteria; Hyphomicrobiales; Rhizobiaceae.